This 983-nucleotide ribosomal RNA is filed under the name Pteridomonas danica. Its description in RNAcentral is "partial Bacterial large subunit ribosomal RNA". It matches the Rfam family "Bacterial large subunit ribosomal RNA", at positions 205 to 1244 of the family's 2925-position model. The record is from RNAcentral. Lineage: Eukaryota; Dictyochophyceae; Pedinellales.
AGUACCCGGAGGAAAAGAAAUCAACCGAGAUUCCCUGAGUAGCGGCGAGCGAAAGGGGACUAGCCCUUAAGCAACUUGUGUUUUAAGAGAACAGUCUGGGAAGGCUGGCCAUAGUGGGUGAUAGCCCCGUAUCUGAAAAGGCACUUGUUGUGAAAUCGAGUAGGUCGGGACACGAGAAAUCUUGACUGAAUAUGGGGGGACCAUCCUCCAAGGCUAAAUACUCCUGAUUGACCGAUAGUGAACCAGUACCGUGAGGGAAAGGCGAAAAGAACCCCGGAGAGGGGAGUGAAAUAGAACCUAAAACCGUGUGCAUACAAGCAGUGGGAGCCGUAAGGUGACUGCGUACCUUUUGUAUAAUGGGUCAGCGACUUACUUUCAGUAGCAAGGUUAACCGUAUAGGGGAGCCGUAGAGAAAUCGAGUCUUAACUGGGCGAUCAGUUGCUGGAAGUAGACCCGAAACCGAGCGAUCUAUCCAUGGCCAGGGUGAAGGUUAGGUAACACUGACUGGAGGCCCGAACCCACAUCUGUUGAAAAAGAUGGGGAUGAGCUGUGGAUCGGAGUGAAAGGCUAAUCAAGCUCGGAGAUAGCUGGUUCUCCUCGAAAGCUAUUUAGGUAGCGCCUCGGACGAAUACCACAGGGGGUAGAGCACUGUUUCGGCUAGGGGGUCAUCCCGACUUACCAACCCGAUGCAAACUCCGAAUACCAGUGAGUUUUAUCACGGGAGACAGACGGCGGGUGCUAACGUCCGUCGUCAAGAGGGCAACAACCCAGACCACCAGCUAAGGUCCCUAAUAUCAGUUAAGUGGGAAACGAUGUGGGAAGGCUUAGACAGCUAGGAGGUUGGCUUAGAAGCAGCCAUCCUUUAAAGAUAGCGUAACAGCUCACUGGUCUAAAUAAGUUGUCUUGCGGCGAAGAUGUAACGGGGCUCAAGCCAUGAGCCGAAGCUGAGGAUGCACAUAGUGCAUGGUAGCGGAGCGUAGUGU